RNAcentral lists this ribosomal RNA (423 nucleotides) under uncultured bacterium. RNAcentral describes it as "bacterial SSU rRNA". It matches the Rfam family "Bacterial small subunit ribosomal RNA", at positions 207 to 622 of the family's 1533-position model. The record is from RNAcentral.
AAGACCUUGCGCUUUUGGAGCGGCCGAUGCCUGAUUAGCUUGUUGGUAAGGUAAAAGCUUACCAAGGCUUCGAUCAGUAGCUGGUCUGAGAGGACGGCCAGCCACACUGGGACUGAGACACGGCCCAGACUCCUACGGGAGGCAGCAGUGGGGAAUUUUGGACAAUGGGGGCAACCCUGAUCCAGCCAUGCCGCGUGAGUGAAGAAGGCCUUCGGGUUGUAAAGCUCUUUCAGCCGGAACGAAACGGUUACGGUUAAUACCUGUGAUUACUGACGGUACCGGAAGAAGAAGCACCGGCUAACUACAUGCCAGCAGCCGCGGUAAUACGUAGGGUGCGAGCGUUAAUCGGAAUUACUGGGCGUAAAGCGUGCGCAGGUGGUUUUGUAAGUCAGAUGUGAAAGCCCCGGGCUCAACCUGGGAACU